RNAcentral lists this unclassified non-coding RNA (253 nucleotides) under uncultured Gammaproteobacteria bacterium. Its description in RNAcentral is "contains 16S-23S intergenic spacer region". It matches the Rfam family "Bacterial small subunit ribosomal RNA", at positions 524 to 776 of the family's 1533-position model. The record is from RNAcentral. Lineage: Bacteria; Pseudomonadati; Pseudomonadota; Gammaproteobacteria.
UACAGAGGGUGCAAGCGUUAAUCGGAAUGACUGGGCGUAAAGGGCGCGUAGGUGGGAUGGCAAGUUAGGUGUGAAACCUUCAGGCUUAACCUGAAGCGGUCAUUUAAGACUGCCAAUCUAGAGUACAAGAGAGGGAAGUGGAAUUUCCGGUGUAGCGGUGAAAUGCGUAGAUAUCGGAAGGAACAUCAGUGGCGAAGGCGACUUUCUGGCUUGAUACUGACACUGAGGCGCGAAAGCGUGGUUAGCGAACAGG